This 254-nucleotide ribosomal RNA is filed under the name uncultured bacterium. Its description in RNAcentral is "partial 16S ribosomal RNA". It matches the Rfam family "Bacterial small subunit ribosomal RNA", at positions 524 to 776 of the family's 1533-position model. The record is from RNAcentral.
GACAGAGGUCCCGAGCGUUAGGCGGAAUCACUGGGCUUAAAGCGCGUGUAGGCGGAUGAGCACGUCUGUCGCUGAAAUCCCCCGGCUCAACCGGGGAACGGGCGCGGAUACGGCUCGUCUCGAGGGGCGUAGGGGGACCUGGAACUUCCGGUGGAGCGGUGAAAUGCGUUGAGAUCGGAAGGAACGCCCGUGGCGAAAGCGAGGUCCUGGACGCCUACUGACGCUGAGACGCGAAAGCCAGGGGAGCGAACGGG